RNAcentral lists this small nucleolar RNA (79 nucleotides) under Procavia capensis (Cape rock hyrax). RNAcentral describes it as "Small nucleolar RNA SNORD72 (ENSPCAG00000019753.1)". It matches the Rfam family "Small nucleolar RNA SNORD72". Rfam says of the family: snoRNA HBII-240 belongs to the CD family of snoRNAs. It is the human orthologue of the mouse MBII-240 and is predicted to guide 2'O-ribose methylation of the large 28S rRNA at residue U4590. The record is from RNAcentral. Lineage: Eukaryota; Metazoa; Chordata; Mammalia; Hyracoidea; Procaviidae.
AGCUUAUCAGUGAUGUUGUAAAAUAAAUGUCUGAACAUAUGAAUACAAUAUUGAUUUCAGUGUUGGACUGAGAUAAGCU